UCCCUGGUGGUCCAAUGGUUAGGACUUGGUGCUUUAACUGCUGUGGGCCCAGGUUCAAUACCUGGUUGGGGAA
Molecule: transfer RNA, 73 nt
Filed under: Tursiops truncatus (common bottlenose dolphin)
Lineage: Eukaryota; Metazoa; Chordata; Mammalia; Artiodactyla; Delphinidae
Also listed under: 1 other name
Description: tRNA-Sup (TTA) (tRNA-Sup-TTA-8-1)
Rfam family: tRNA
About the family: Transfer RNA (tRNA) molecules are approximately 80 nucleotides in length. Their secondary structure includes four short double-helical elements and three loops (D, anti-codon, and T loops). Further hydrogen bonds mediate the characteristic L-shaped molecular structure. tRNAs have two regions of fundamental functional importance: the anti-codon, which is responsible for specific mRNA codon recognition, and the 3' end, to which the tRNAs corresponding amino acid is attached (by aminoacyl-tRNA synthetases). tRNAs cope with the degeneracy of the genetic code in two manners: having more than one tRNA (with a specific anti-codon) for a particular amino acid; and 'wobble' base-pairing, i.e. permitting non-standard base-pairing at the 3rd anti-codon position.
Source: Rfam by way of RNAcentral